This 490-nucleotide ribosomal RNA is filed under the name uncultured bacterium. RNAcentral describes it as "partial 16S ribosomal RNA". It matches the Rfam family "Bacterial small subunit ribosomal RNA", at positions 30 to 507 of the family's 1533-position model. The record is from RNAcentral.
AUUGAACGCUGGCGGCAGGCCUAACACAUGCAAGUCGAACGGUAACAGGAAGAAGCUUGCUUCUUUGCUGACGAGUGGCGGACGGGUGAGAAAUGUCUGGGAAACUGCCUGAUGGAGGGGGAUAACUACUGGAAACGGUAGCUAAUACCGCAUAACGUCGCAAGACCAAAGAGGGGGACCUUCGGGCCUCUUGCCAUCGGAUGCUCCCCGCUGGGAUUAGCUAGUAGGUGGGGUAACGGCUCACCUAGGCGACGAUCCGUAGCUGGUCUGAGAGGAUGACCAGCCACACUGGAACUGAGACACGGUCCAGACUCCUACGGGAGGCAGCAGUGGGGAAUAUUGCACAAUGGGCGCAAGCCUGAUGCAGCCAUGCCGCGUGUAUGAAGAAGGCCUUCGGGUUGUAAAGUACUUUCAGCGGGGAGGAAGGGAGUAAAGUUAAUACCUUUGCUCAUUGACGUUACCCGCAGAAGAAGCACCGGCUAACUCCGUG